Molecule: unclassified non-coding RNA, 240 nt
Filed under: fungal sp.
Lineage: Eukaryota; Fungi
Description: partial internal transcribed spacer region
Rfam family: Eukaryotic small subunit ribosomal RNA (bases 1-46)
Source: RNAcentral
AAGUCGUAACAAGGUCAUCGUAGGUGAACCUGCGGUGGGAUCAUCAGAAGAAACAACACAAUCAUAGUGAGGACUCUUGAAGGGAGAAGGAAUGGGAUGGGAGUGGAUGAUGAUGAUGAUUUUAUCGUCAUCCGCGUCUGUCCCUUCCAACUUGAUUUAACAACACAAAACUAAAACUGUUUUUUUUUGCUAAACACAAAAAUUUAUACACAACUAUCAAUGGUGGAUCACUUGGCUCUU